AUAAAUUCAUGGGUCUAUAUAGGGCUACUACGCUCGCGUCCAACGCUCACGUCACGCCUUAAUGCGGUGCUACACUACGCCAUCAAGGUGGACAGACGGGUGUAUAAAUAUGUGUCCAUACCCCCUAUAUGAAUUAAACACUCAAAUAGGGCUACUACGCUUACGUCCAACGCUCACGUCACACCAUAAUGCGGCUAUAUGCUACGCCAUUAACGUGGACAGACACAUAUGGCUAGCUAGCAUUUUCUAUACAUACUCCCUCAUAUAUACAUAUUUAUAUUCACCGAAAAUCCCAUUUUCGGUAACUUUCUCUCAGAGAAAUAAAAGCGUCAAAAUUAAUUGACGUCAAAACUCCAACAAAAGGAAGUGUUCAAUCAUGAACCAUAGCAUGCAUAUUAUUUCAAAUAAAAGUCCACUCACAAAUUAGGCCUAAGCCUGAUGUCGAUCUGGGGUCUCGUCUGCUCGAGCCUCCUCACGUCCUGUUUCAAAUAUAAUAUUAAUUCCCAACCAAAUAAUCCAAUAUUUAAUCACAAUAGGCAAAAUUACCCGAGAGCCAUAAUUACGCUCAUCAUUGCCUAACUUCGAUAUUCUUACAUCGGAACGAUCCGAACUUAAAUAUCAUACUCAACAGUCGUAAAUAAAACCUCUCCAAAAUACGACUUAAAUCCUACGGCCGGAUUCUACAUUAAUUAACCGCCAAAAAUACCAAACUUCGGAAAUUCACAAACCUAUCCAAAUCUCAUCCAAAAAUUCCAUAAAUCACACCAAUUUACUCCUCUUAAUAUUCCACAUUUAAAACCCUAAAAAUCUCCUAACCGGCGACGGCUCCGCCGACAGCGGCGGCCGGCAGCCGUUUUCCGGCGACCUGCAAAUGCUACCAAAUUUUGGCAGCAUCUUCCUCUCAACCUCCUCUACAACAUUCCUAACUACCACAAACUCCAAUUCUAAGCCUAAGCACAUCAAUCGAACACAAAUACACAAAAAGCCCUAGAAAUUUCAAGUUCCCAUUUCUCCUUACCUAGCUCACGACGGAGCGAGCCCUUUGGAGGANNNN
This 1054-nucleotide long non-coding RNA is filed under the name Fragaria vesca (wild strawberry). RNAcentral's name for it is "long non-coding RNA (FVES_LNC005130)". Lineage: Eukaryota; Viridiplantae; Streptophyta; Magnoliopsida; Rosales; Rosaceae. The record is from RNAcentral.